This 51-nucleotide small RNA is filed under the name chicken gut metagenome. Its description in RNAcentral is "Streptococcus sRNA SpF59 (ldcC RNA)". It matches the Rfam family "Streptococcus sRNA SpF59 (ldcC RNA)". The record is from RNAcentral.
GACCACCCCUUUUCGGGUCAAGGCCAUACGGACAGCCGGGUCGAAUGCCGA